AAUCAAGGGAGCCGCCGCCUCCGAGGGGAGCGCCUGGACGGAGGAGCUCUGCCUCGGAAUGAAAAUAAGUUUUGUGCCAUUUCCACAAGAGAAGUUUAAGUACAUACAAUGGCAAAUCAGAAGAGGAAUCCGUCCCCUGUAAAUGACCCAGAGGUGUACUGAUUACUACUUCAACCCAUAGAUACAACAAAGCCUAUCAGGAAAUGCUAUGAAGUACUCCAGCUGUACUCAGAAAUUCUUGCUCUGAAAUCAGAGGAUUUCAUCUUCUGCACAUCUUGAAAAGGAAGACACUCAUAACUUGGAUAAGAACUUGAGAUACAAUUGGAGAAGUAUUUUAUCUUUGUCAAAUAGUGUGUAUUUUAUCGUAAGAGGUCAUGAAUUACAUUAUUAGGAAGGUCAUAUGUACAGAUAAUCAUUACAACUACUGGUGGCUGUAUAUGUGAAAUGAAGGUCCCUAAAUCUUAAGAACACUUAAGAUCUUAAAAUUCAGGAUCUUCAGAAGUCUCAGUUAUGAAAUAAAACAAAA
Molecule: long non-coding RNA, 526 nt
Organism: Rhea pennata
Lineage: Eukaryota; Metazoa; Chordata; Aves; Rheiformes; Rheidae
Exons: 3
Source: RefSeq, a predicted model, not a curated record